Molecule: microRNA precursor, 94 nt
Filed under: Chlorocebus sabaeus (green monkey)
Lineage: Eukaryota; Metazoa; Chordata; Mammalia; Primates; Cercopithecidae
Description: miRNA (ENSCSAG00000026053.1)
Source: RNAcentral
AGAUUGUACUAGGUUGGUGCAAAAGUAAUUCAGGUUUUUGCAAUAAAGGUAAAGGCAAAAACUGCAAUCACUUUUGCACCAACCUAAUAAAUCU